This 436-nucleotide ribosomal RNA is filed under the name uncultured bacterium. RNAcentral's name for it is "partial 16S ribosomal RNA". It matches the Rfam family "Bacterial small subunit ribosomal RNA", at positions 29 to 507 of the family's 1533-position model. The record is from RNAcentral.
GCGAACGCUGGCGGCAGGCUUCACACAUGCAAGUCGCGCGGGCAUCCUUGUGGUGUCAGCGGCAGACGGGUGAGUAACGCGUGGGAACGUGCCCUUCGGUUCGGAAUAACUCAGGGAAACUUGAGCUAAUACCGGAUACGUGCGAGAGCAGAAAGGUUUAUCUGCCGAAGGAUCGGCCCGCGUCUGAUUAGCUAGUUGGUGAGGUUACGGCUCACCAAGGCGACGACCAGUAGCUGGUCUGAGAGGAUGAUCAGCCACACUGGGACUGAGACACGGCCCAGACUCCUACGGGAGGCAGCAGUGGGGAAUAUUGGACAAUGGGGGCAACCCUGAUCCAGCCAUGCCGCGUGAGUGAUGACGGCCUUAGGGUUGUAAAGCUCUUUUCUCCGGGACGAUAAUGACGGUACCGGAGGAAUAAGCCCCGGCUAACUUCGUG